GAAAUGCGAUAAGUAGUGUGAAUUGCAGAAUUCAGUGAAUCAUCGAAUCUUUGAACGCACAUUGCGCCCCUUGGUAUUCCAUGGGGCAUGCCUGUUCGAGCGUCAUCUACACCCUCAAGCUAUGCUUGGUGUUGGGCGUCUGUCCCGCCUUUGCGCGCCGACUCGCCCCAAAUUCAUUGGCAGCAGUCCUUGCCUCCUCUCGCGCAGCACAAUUGCGUUGGUAGGAGGCGCGGCCUGCGUCCACGAAGCAACAUUACCGUCUUUGACCUCGGAUCAGGUAGGGAUACCCGCUGAACUUAA
RNAcentral lists this unclassified non-coding RNA (300 nucleotides) under uncultured Pleosporales. RNAcentral's name for it is "sequence contains ITS1". The stretch from base 1 to 105 matches the Rfam family "5.8S ribosomal RNA", at positions 50 to 154 of the family's 154-position model. Lineage: Eukaryota; Fungi; Ascomycota; Dothideomycetes; Pleosporales. The record is from RNAcentral.